This is a long non-coding RNA of Diabrotica virgifera virgifera (western corn rootworm), 779 nucleotides long. RefSeq lists it as uncharacterized. NCBI's taxonomy places the organism in Eukaryota, Metazoa, Arthropoda, Insecta, Coleoptera, Chrysomelidae. The record is from RefSeq and is a predicted model, not a curated record. The transcript is spliced from 3 exons.
GCGAUUUUGUUAAUAAAAAAAAUACUUAUAACUUAUGCAAAACCCAAGAGAGGCAUUUAUAUUUAUUUCUUUUGCGUUCAUUUUCAAAUUCGCCGUGCAUAUAUUUUUGUGCAUGGCGCUUGAGAGGGCAUCACGUGACUAAAAACGACCAACCAACGACCUCGCUUCGGCCAUCUUGGCAUCUUCAUCUUGGCGACCUUGCCUUGCCGUGGAUUGUUUUUAGUUGUUUGUAUUAUUUGUGCUUUUUAAGAAUAUUUUUUAAUUCGGAUACUUUUAUAAUAGCUUUAAUAGUAUUAUUAACAUAGUGCAUAAAAUGGUGUCCUGUUUUUAACGCAGUUGGAGUAGCAGAAACAAAUGUAGAUAAAAAAAUCUGCAGGAAUAACGUUUCAAUUAUGACAGAAGCUCCAAACAAAUGACUGAAUGAAAAGCCCUAUUAAAAGCUUUCCAGAAGAUCCUGCGAAGAAGACAUGAAGUAUAGAUCAGAUUUGUUAAUAGAGGAGUAUGUUCAAAACACUUUUUAGAAAAAGAUAUUGACAGAACUUCACUUUCAUCUGUUCGUUUGAGAGACUGUGCUGUUCCAAUAGCUUAUGUCACACAGAAUCAGCUGAGAGAAGUGGUCUACAAAAAACCAGAAAGGAAACGGAAUAUGUGGCUACGAAAAGCAAAAGAAAGGUUUACAAAGCAAAUGUGACACAUUUUUUUAUAAUAUUUAGGAAUGUCAGCAAAUUACAUUAAAAAAUGUAUGUAAAGAUUUUUUGCAAUAAAAAUGUUUAUAUUUA